CCAAUGCUUUGCAAGCACCCAUUGUUCCAAGAAGAGAGACCAGUUUGGCACACCAUCAACUGUAAUGUCCUUCCCAAAGAUACCAAGGAAACUAAGGCAGAGAAAGACAAAGCUGAAGAUAAGCAGGUUAUUAUGGCCACUGACAUGGAAUAUCCAUCAAAUUUUGAUUCAGAUGAAUAGGUUGGGCACUGCAUCCAGGGACCUUUGUCAGUACCAACUGAAUUAACUAAGGUGAUAAAAUGUAUUAUUAUUAGUAGACAAUGUUCUGCGUUCAGUUGCAAUCUUUGCACCUUUUAAAAG
RNAcentral lists this unclassified non-coding RNA (300 nucleotides) under Hevea brasiliensis (rubber tree). The record is from RNAcentral. Lineage: Eukaryota; Viridiplantae; Streptophyta; Magnoliopsida; Malpighiales; Euphorbiaceae.